UACGAAGGGGGCUAGCGUUGCUCGGAAUCACUGGGCGUAAAGGGUGCGUAGGCGGGUCUUUAAGUCAGGGGUGAAAUCCUGGAGCUCAACUCCAGAACUGCCUUUGAUACUGAGGAUCUUGAGUCCGGGAGAGGUGAGUGGAACUGCGAGUGUAGAGGUGAAAUUCGUAGAUAUUCGCAAGAACACCAGUGGCGAAGGCGGCUCUCUGGGCAGAUACUGACACUGAGACGCGAAAGCGUGGGUAGCAAACAGG
This 253-nucleotide ribosomal RNA is filed under the name uncultured bacterium. Its description in RNAcentral is "partial 16S ribosomal RNA". It matches the Rfam family "Bacterial small subunit ribosomal RNA", at positions 524 to 776 of the family's 1533-position model. The record is from RNAcentral.